This 253-nucleotide ribosomal RNA is filed under the name uncultured bacterium. RNAcentral's name for it is "partial 16S ribosomal RNA". It matches the Rfam family "Bacterial small subunit ribosomal RNA", at positions 524 to 776 of the family's 1533-position model. The record is from RNAcentral.
UACGGAGGGAGCUAGCGUUGUUCGGAAUUACUGGGCGUAAAGCGCACGUAGGCGGCUAUUCAAGUCGGGGGUGAAAGCCCGGGGCUCAACCCCGGAACUGCCCUCGAAACUAGAUAGCUAGAAUCUUGGAGAGGUCAGUGGAAUUCCGAGUGUAGAGGUGAGAUUCGUAGAUAUUCGGAAGAACACCAGUGGCGAAGGCGACUGACUGGACAAGUAUUGACGCUGAGGUGCGAAAGCGUGGGGAGCAAACAGG